GACUUUGCUCUUAACAUGCAGAGGAGCCAGAGGCGGGAGCUGGGAGAAGAGAGACUGUUAGGAGGCUGCUGAAAUAGUCCAGGCGAGAGAUCUUGAAGCCCUGAACGUCAAUAUGUGCGGCACGAAGAGGAAGAAUCGAAUCUGAGCCAUUUGGUAUUUGCAAUGGAAAGGACCUCCUAACAGGAGGGGUGAGAUGUGGGAGGAGGAUUUCCAGGCUUUUCAGUUGGCUUGUGACACUACCCAAGACAGGAAGAGAGAGUGAAGUGUCGUUUUGGGCAUGUUGUUUUGGUAAGGACGUGCCUGUGGGUCAUCUAACUGGAGAUGUCCAACAGGCAGGCAGAAAUGUGGGCGUGGAAUCUGGGAGAGAAAACUCUAAUGGAAUAUUUUUCUUAUGACACAUUCCCGUUAAGCCUUCAUUCCUCGGGUUUGGCUAAGGCCACCGUGGACAGAUUGGUGGGGGAAGUGCUGUUCUGAGAUCCUGGGUGUAGUCUUACAGUCCUAACAGCAAGGCAGCUUUCUUUCCCUGUCUCUGCGUGGGGAACAGAAUUUGUGCAGGCUCAAGUGUGCCUGGCAAGAAGGCCAAACUGAAAACACCUUCCACAGCUCUGGGGCCUAACGUUGAAUUUCCAUCUUCAGCCGCACGUUUUCCAGGUGAGCUUCUCAAGCAGGAUAAAUUCCUGCAGAAGCACAGAAAUCUCAGGAGUCCCAAGGUUCCUAGCAAAUUAGAAUCUUGAGGUAGGAGAGGAGCCAGGCCCCACCCCAGAAGCCCAGUAGGAACUGGCACCAAGAGAAAAUCGACAAUAAAAGCAAUUGGUGAUUUGUGCCAUCAGAAGAUAGGCUGGCCAGGACAGGUCAAGGAGAAUGAGACAAGUUACAGCAAAUUUUAAUACAAUUGCUCUGAUUCUAGGUAAUUUCAGGAUAGCAUAAUAGAAUUAUUUUACACUUGAAGAUACUUUGGGAUGCAUGAACAUAAAGCCUCUGCCAUUUGCACUGUUUCAUUUACUGAACACCAAUCCUAUUAGUUUGCUCUAUAUUACAGUUAUUAUCCCCAUUUUAUGGAUGCAGAAAGUGGAGGGCAGACAGGUUAAAUGAUCUCCCUCAAAUCGCCUACCGGGUAAGUGGCAUAUCUGGGAUUUGGAAGCAGCCUGUCUGACUCCAGAGGCUGCCCUCUUAGCCACAGGCUCCACCAGCACGUGUAUGUGACUGACACAUGUGGAUGGCACUUUGUACCGCCAAAAGUACUCUCUUAUAUUUAUGUCCUCCAAAUAGACAGAAACAGGGCCAAGAUGAAACCUUUAGCCCGAGAUGGCUUUUUACAGUGUCCUCUGGGGCUGGAAGGUAGACCCAGUAUCCGGUAUCCUGCAGUACCUUCCAGGCAUGAGCCUAAGAAACAACAUCAGAGUGAAGCACACUGGCUUCUGCUUCACACAGGACAUGCUUCAUAAAGCCUGCGCUUCCUAUAAGAUCACACCUUCCACCUCAGCCCCUAGUCCUGGGACCAGAGCCACCAAGAGGACCUAAAUCAAGUUAUUAAUUGGCUUUCAACCAUAAGGAAGAACUUUCUUGUAUGCCUUACUUAUUUAUAUCAGCAUGGACUCAUGAAUUCUUAUUCAGAAAACCUCAAUACUUAAUAAAAAAAGAUAUGUGUCAUUAAAGCAUCACUCAUGUCUGUUGGAAUUCUUUAAUGUAUGUAUUUUGAUACUCAAUUGUCCCAAAUGUUUGCCAGACACAAUUAUUUCAUUUAAUUCAUUAGCGAUCAAAUUUAAAUCAUUCAAUUCUCAAAACAACUCUAUGAGGUGGGGAUCCCUCUUGAUGUUUCUGCCACACAGGAAUUAUCUCCUCUCCCCUGCC
Molecule: long non-coding RNA, 1851 nt
Filed under: Homo sapiens (human)
Lineage: Eukaryota; Metazoa; Chordata; Mammalia; Primates; Hominidae
Description: non-protein coding lnc-NR3C1-3:2
Source: RNAcentral